GUGAGGAAUAUUGCGCAAUGGACGAAAGUCUGACGCAGCCAUGCCGCGUGAAGGAUUGACGGCCCUAUGGGUUGUAAACUUCUUUUGUAUAGGAAUAAACCCUCGUUCGUGAACGAGGCUGAAGGUACUAUAAGAAUAAGCACCGGCUAACUCCGUGCCAGCAGCCGCGGUAAUACGGAGGGUGCAAGCGUUAUCCGGAUUUAUUGGGUUUAAAGGUUCCGUAGGCGGAUCGUUAAGUCAGUGGUGAAAUCCUACCGCUCAACGGUAGAACUGCCAUUGAUACUGGCGAUCUUGAGUAUGUAUGAAGUUGGCGGAAUGUGUGGUGUAGCGGUGAAAUGCUUAGAUAUCACACAGAACACCGAUUGCGAAGGCAGCUGACUAAUACACAACUGACGCUGAGGGACGAAAGUGUGGGGAUCAAACAGGAUUAGAUACCCGAGUAGUCC
Molecule: ribosomal RNA, 446 nt
Filed under: uncultured bacterium
Lineage: Bacteria
Description: partial 16S ribosomal RNA
Rfam family: Bacterial small subunit ribosomal RNA
Source: RNAcentral